This 198-nucleotide ribosomal RNA is filed under the name Triticum aestivum (bread wheat). RNAcentral's name for it is "partial small subunit ribosomal RNA". The record is from RNAcentral. Lineage: Eukaryota; Viridiplantae; Streptophyta; Magnoliopsida; Poales; Poaceae.
AUGCCGCUGUGUGUCAUUGUAGCCGCCACCACACAGGUCCUCCGCGGCCUCCUCACCGUGCCGCCGCUGCCACAGCAGCCUCCUCGCCGCGCCGCGCACCUCCAUAGACCGACACACGGCCCGGAGCUUCACCGCGCAGCCGCCGGCGAACGCCGCCAUCGCCGGCACGCCUCCGGCAAGGGGCAACACCCAAGAUGA